GUGAGGAAUAUUGGGCAAUGCCCGAAAGGGUGACCCAGCAACGCCGCGUGGAGGAUGAAGGUCGUAAGAUUGUAAACUCCUGUUAGAGGGGAAGAAUAACUAAGUUUGGAGCUUAGUAUGACUGUACCCUCAGAGAAAGCCCCGGCUAACUACGUGCCAGCAGCCGCGGUAAUACGUAGGGGGCAAGCGUUGUCCGGAUUUACUGGGUGUAAAGGGCGCGCAGGCGGAAUGGAAAGUCAGUGGUGAAAUCCUACAGCUUAACUGUAGAACUGCCUUUGAUACUUUCAUUCUUGAGUUCGGGAGAGAGAGGCGGAAUUCCAGGUGUAGUGGUGAAAUACGUAGAUAUCUGGAAGAACACCAGUUGCGAAGGCGGUCUCUUGGUCCGAUACUGACGCUGAGGCGCGAAAGCGUGGGGAGCAAACA
RNAcentral lists this ribosomal RNA (423 nucleotides) under uncultured bacterium. RNAcentral's name for it is "bacterial SSU rRNA". It matches the Rfam family "Bacterial small subunit ribosomal RNA", at positions 354 to 774 of the family's 1533-position model. The record is from RNAcentral.